AUACAUAUAGAGUUUAUAUUAUUGAGGCUAAGUAGUGAAAGAGAUAGCUGAGACUAAGAAAAUAUUUUAAGUCUUCAACUAUAUUCACUAUACAAAAGAUAGUAACUAUAUUAGAGAAAGAUAUAGUUGAAAUAAAAAAAAUAUUCUAAGUCUUUAACUAUAUUCACCAUAAAAUAGAGAGUUUUAUAUGUUGAAGGAAGGUGUUCUUAUGGUGGAGCUUUGAACUCUUCAACUAAUCCGCAGUUGCUUGAGUUAUACAUCGUUGAUGGACUGUUGUACUUGGAGGGGACAAGUCAAGAGAUAUACUAUUGGAUCGGUGUAAAUUAUGCCACAAUGGCUUGAAUCUCCUUAAAGAGAGACAGAUAUCCGAGCUUCAGCCAAGAAGAAGAUUAUUUAUUUUCUUCAUUUUUUUUAUAUUUUUAAUUGUAAUUUAAUUAUUGUGGUAUAUUACACCAAAAAUUUUAAGUAGAUUCAUGUUUUGUUACAGUUCGAAAAAUUGUGGAUAUCAAGAUGAGAGAUCUCAACAUGUCAUUAGACUCUUCAAGAGAUAGAAGGGAAGAGAUGAAGAGUAAAGUAUCUUUCUACUCCUCAACUUAAGCGGAGGAAACUUAAAAACUUUUCUACUUAUUGCAGAGGUUCAUGAAUAAAAUGUUACUUUUUCAUGAAAGUUUAUUUUUUUAAAGUCUCAAAAUAGUAAGGGAUAAUGAAAUGGAAAAAAUCACCAUGAAAAAUGUGAUUUUUUUCUUUUUGAGAAUGCUUUUAAAAAAAAAGGUGUUACGAGUGCAUAUAUUAGUCUUGGAAUAAAUCACUUGUUACUAUAUCUAUAUGAGUUGAUAUCUUCGGCUCUAGCAUGUAUGUCAUCAAAGAAAUGAAAAAAUUGAGUAGCCAUUUUGAUAUGAAAAAAUGGGUGAGAUAAAUUUCAUUCUUGGAAGGAAAGAAAUACCCUAACACAUCUGAUAAAAUUUUUCCUUGACAUGUCACAUUAUAGUGAAA
This 993-nucleotide long non-coding RNA is filed under the name Capsicum annuum. Its description in RNAcentral is "long non-coding RNA (CANN_LNC007917)". Lineage: Eukaryota; Viridiplantae; Streptophyta; Magnoliopsida; Solanales; Solanaceae. The record is from RNAcentral.